Molecule: ribosomal RNA, 1305 nt
Filed under: metagenome
Description: bacterial LSU rRNA
Rfam family: Bacterial large subunit ribosomal RNA
Source: RNAcentral
UGAGUGCGAGCUGCUACGGCAGCGAAGUUGGUGACGUCACUCUUCCAAGAAAAGCCCUAUACCCGUUAAGGCAUCAUGGCCUGUACCCGAAACCGACACAGGUGGGGUGGUAGAGAAUACCGAGGGGCGCGAGGUAACUCUCUCUAAGGAACUCGGCAAAAUGACCCCGUAACUUCGGGAGAAGGGGUGCCACCGCAAGGUGGUCGCAGUGAAGAGGCCCAGGCGACUGUUUACCAAAAACACAGGUCUCCGCUAAAUCGCAAGACGAUGUAUGGGGGCUGACGCCUGCCCAGUGCCGGAAGGUUAAGGAAGCUGGUCAGCAUAAGCGAAGCUAGCGACUGAAGCCCCGGUGAACGGCGGCCGUAACGAUAACGGUCCUAAGGUAGCGAAAUUCCUUGUCGGGUAAGUUCCGACCCGCACGAAAGGCGUAACGAUCUGGGCGCUGUCUCGGAGAGAGGCUCGGCGAAAUAGAAUUGUCUGUGAAGAUGCGGACUACGUGCACCCGGACAGAAAGACCCUAUGAAGCUUUACUGUAGCUUGGUAUUGUGCCCGGGCUCUGAACGCGCAUAGGUGGGAGGCUUUGAUCAACAGCUUGCGGGUUGUUGUGAGCCAACGGUGAGAUACCACUCUUUCAGAGCUAGGGUUCUAACAGUCACCCGUUAUCCGGGGACUGGACAGUAUCUGGUGGGCAGUUUGACUGGGGCGGUCGCCUCCUAAAAGGUAACGGAGGCGCGCAAAGGUUUGCUCAGGCUGGUUGGAAAUCAGCCGACGAGUGUAAAAGCAGAAGCAAGCUUGACUGUGAGACCUACAAGUCGAACAGGGAGGAAACUCGGCUUUAGUGAUCCGACGGUUCUGCGUGGAAGGGCCGUCGCUCAACGGAUAAAAGUUACUCUAAGGAUAACAGGCUGAUCUCCCCCAAGAGUUCACAUCGACGGGGAGGUUUGGCACCUCGAUGUCGGCUCAUCGCAACCUGGGGCUGAAGUCGGUCCCAAGGGUUGGGCUGUUCGCCCAUUAAAGCGGUACGCGAGCUGGGUUCAGAACGUCGUGAGACAGUUCGGUCCAUAUCCGGUGCAUGCGCAGGAAUAUUGAGAGGAUUUCUCCCUAGUACGAGAGGACCGGGAGGAACGCACCUCUGGUGUACCAGUUAUCGUGCCAACGGUAAACGCUGGGUAGCCAUGUGCGGAGUGGAUAACCGCUGAAAGCAUCUAAGUGGGAAGCCCACCUCAAGAUGAGUAUUCCCAUGGCGUUAGCCAGUAAGGUCACGGGAAGAACACCCGUUGAUAGGCUCUAUGUGGAAGCGCAGUA